Molecule: ribosomal RNA, 482 nt
Filed under: uncultured bacterium
Lineage: Bacteria
Description: partial 16S ribosomal RNA
Rfam family: Bacterial small subunit ribosomal RNA
Source: RNAcentral
AGUGAACGUUGGCGGCGUGGAUUAGGCAUGCAAGUCGAGCGAGAACCGUAGCAAUACGGGGACAGCGGCGAAAGGGACAGUAAUGUGUAGGUACCUACCUCCGGGUUCGGGAUAGCUGCGGGAAACUGCAGGUAAUACCGAAUAACGUCUCCGGACCAAAGGUGUGAUUCCACCUGGAGAGGGGCCUGCAUCCUAUUAGCGUGUUGGCGGGGUAACGGCACACCAAGGCGACGAUGGGUAGCGGGUGUGAGAGCACGACCCGCGUCAUUGGGACUGAGACACUGCCCAGACACCUACGGGUGGCUGCAGUCGUGAAUCUUCGGCAAUGGGCGCAAGCCUGACCGAGCGACGCCGCGUGCGGGAUGAAGGCCUUCGGGUUGUAAACCGCUGUCGUAGAGGAGGAAAUGCAGGGGGGUUCUCCCCUCUGUUUGACCUAUUCUAGGAGGAAGUACGGGCUAAGUUCGUGCCAGCCGCCGCGGUAA